AKCAUCUCCUUCACGCCUCUUCAUUUUUUGGCGCAAGCACGUUCUCGGCCAAAAUCGGGUUUCCUGUGCUAGAUACCUAUCUCGAAGGAAUUUGGUGGGCUAUAAUUGUUGCCUUUCCGUCGUGUACCGCUGCUCCUUACUGGGGAAGUGGUGCGUGGCGGACCUCAAGGCAUUCGCCGUGUUUCGCACCGUGUCCAACUAUACGGGUGUUUCGGUUGCUGAGCCACGGCGCAAUGCUCGAUAUCUCGGGUGCGGAAAAUCUAGUGGGUACGAGGCCGUUGGCCUCCGAUCACCACAACAACAAGCGUUCUAUGCUUCGUGCGAGCGACGGGUUGGCUCGAUCUUCGAACGGGCUCUAGCAGCCUGAUUGGAGUCGUGCCGGCGUCGG
Molecule: unclassified non-coding RNA, 388 nt
Filed under: Elsholtzia winitiana
Lineage: Eukaryota; Viridiplantae; Streptophyta; Magnoliopsida; Lamiales; Lamiaceae
Description: partial external transcribed spacer
Source: RNAcentral